UCAAAGGCUUUUUUGAGGGUUUGAAAAAAGCCAUCAAUUUUAUAUUUGACCAAUUG
Molecule: non-coding RNA, 56 nt
Organism: Microscilla marina ATCC 23134
Lineage: Bacteria; Pseudomonadati; Bacteroidota; Cytophagia; Cytophagales; Microscillaceae
Source: Rfam